This 72-nucleotide transfer RNA is filed under the name Ipomoea nil (Japanese morning glory). It matches the Rfam family "tRNA". Rfam says of the family: Transfer RNA (tRNA) molecules are approximately 80 nucleotides in length. Their secondary structure includes four short double-helical elements and three loops (D, anti-codon, and T loops). Lineage: Eukaryota; Viridiplantae; Streptophyta; Magnoliopsida; Solanales; Convolvulaceae. The record is from Rfam by way of RNAcentral.
GUUUUUGUAGCUCAGUGGUAGAGUGCAUGGCUUUUAAUGAUGUGGUUGUGGUGGGUUCGAUCCCCACAGACA